Neofelis nebulosa (Clouded leopard) is the source of this 505-nucleotide long non-coding RNA. RefSeq lists it as uncharacterized. NCBI's taxonomy places the organism in Eukaryota, Metazoa, Chordata, Mammalia, Carnivora, Felidae. The record is from RefSeq and is a predicted model, not a curated record. The transcript has 3 exons.
CUCAACAGGUCCAUGAUGCACUCGAGCGCCAGGCGCGCAUCCCUCUAUGCCUUGGGGACCCGGGACGGUCAGCGCCGCUCUCAUUCUCCUGCCGCGUCUGCUCCUGUCCCUAAGUCGCGGCGGUUGCCGACUCCCACCCCCCAGACCAGGCUGAUGCCAAGAGCUCGCGGCCGCCGCCACCUCCUCUUCCACCUGACGGCGCAUCAGGCUUCUACUACUGCGACCUGAUUGGACCACAUACAUUACACUCUGAGCUUGACAAUCCUACAGGAGAAGAGCUGCUACUGGUGCCAUUCCCAGCUGCAAGGAAGUGAAUUCUGCCAGCAACCUGAGUAAACCUGGACACGGACCCUUCUGCAGUCAAGCCUCCAGAUGAGAACCCAGCCCUGGCCAACACAUUUACUGCAGCCUAUAAGAUCCUAUGCAGAGGACCCAACUAAGCUGUCCUCAGCCAACUCACCCAUGGAAACUAUGAGGUAAUAAAUGUGUGUGUUGUUUUAAGCCA